RNAcentral lists this transfer RNA (90 nucleotides) under Streptomyces phage Wofford. Its description in RNAcentral is "tRNA-Ser". It matches the Rfam family "tRNA". Rfam says of the family: Transfer RNA (tRNA) molecules are approximately 80 nucleotides in length. Their secondary structure includes four short double-helical elements and three loops (D, anti-codon, and T loops). Lineage: Duplodnaviria; Heunggongvirae; Uroviricota; Caudoviricetes; Stanwilliamsviridae. The record is from RNAcentral.
GGAAGUGUGGCUGAGAGGCUUAAGGCACCAGUUUGCUAAACUGGCGAGUGAAUAAAGUAGCUCCGCAGGUUCAAAUCCUGUCACUUCCGC